AGCAAGCCCUUCGAUCUGGCUUUCUUGCGGCCAGUCGCGUAAGAGUUGACUGCCUGCAUACUAAAUAGGAAACAAAAGUUUAUUUUCAUCGGAGCGUCAGCAAGUGCAACUUUGGCCACAAGACCAAAAGGCUGGCCCAAGGCGGGGGUGGCCAACACAUAUGUCUGGUCGAUAUGGAAAGCGAAGAAAGCGCCGAAGACAUGCGUUAGUG
This 211-nucleotide long non-coding RNA is filed under the name Drosophila guanche. The record is from RNAcentral. Lineage: Eukaryota; Metazoa; Arthropoda; Insecta; Diptera; Drosophilidae.